ACUCAACAAGUAUAUAUUAAAAAAGGUGAGUUCAAGUUGUAAAAGCAAGCCGCUCCUCUGAUUAAUUUCAGAUAUAGGACUGCGGAUCCUUGAUCAGUUUGGUAGCCUUAAACCUGUUUAGAGGAGUUU
RNAcentral lists this small RNA (129 nucleotides) under Galbibacter orientalis. RNAcentral's name for it is "6S RNA". It matches the Rfam family "6S-Flavo RNA". RNAcentral also lists the same sequence under 1 other name. Lineage: Bacteria; Pseudomonadati; Bacteroidota; Flavobacteriia; Flavobacteriales; Flavobacteriaceae. The record is from RNAcentral.